UAAAUCCCGGCGAGGCAAAUGGCCCAAUCCCAUAAGUGUAGUAGAAUGAAAUACCCCGCUUGCGAAUCAUACAUGCUACGCGGACAAAUAUAAAUUUAACAUUAAAAUCCGAUCUCCUUCUUGAUUCUUUUCAAAAUAAGGGAAAUUCAGCUUGUAGCUUUUUAAGGAAAUUACCCCCGCUCGCCAAUCAUACAUGCGGCGCGGUUACUCAUAGAUUUCUUAAGCAAUUAUAAUAUUUCUCAAUUCUUUUCGAAAAUACGAAGUUUAAUGGAAACUUUUAAAAUCAUAAAUUCCUAAAUUCAAAUUCCUUUAAACACAAUUAUUACGCAACCUUAAUCUUGUUUCUUCUCAAGACAAACAAUAAACGUAAAUUAACAACAAUAUCAACUAGGCAUGAUAUGAGCCUACAACUACCCGGGCAUGGGCAUAGCUAGUAGCUACAUACGGACUCUCGUCACUUCGUGCGUAUGUAGCCCCCCCCCCCCCCACAAAUAGGAUCACAUAAUAAUUUAGUUCACCUAUGACGUUUAUUCCCUCUUACAAGGUUAGAAAGGAAACUUUCCUGACUCCGAAGUUCCAUAACCGGCUUCCAAGCCCUUCCAACGACUCAAACCUAUGCUCGACGCUCCGAAACUAGCCAAUAAUUAUGCAAACCCAUUAAUAUACGCUUGAAUACUCAUAACAAUUCAAUUUACAACAAAUUCCUAGCUCCGAUCGGAAAAUCGAUAAAAUCACCCUCGGGUCCACGUGCCUAGAUUCCAAAAUUUUUCGAAGAUAAACUUUACCCAUAACCCCACGAACUCAAAUAUAUAAUUUGUUUCCAAUUCCAUGCCCAAAUUUGUGGUAAAAAUCCAAAAAUACCAAAUUUUAGGUUUUCUAGGAAAACCCACAAUCUCCACUAAUUUCCAUGUUCAAAUCCAUAUAUAAUCAUGCUUUUAACUCAAAACUAGUAUAAACCACUUACUUCAUGCUUGGUGAUAAAAAUGGCACUCCCAAGUUGCUCCAAAAAUUGGCUCCCAUGAAAGAUUUGAGAUGAAAUGAGCCAAAUCCCGUCUUUUAAAUAAACACACUGCCCAGCGAUUCUUUGCACCUGCGGUCACUUGACCGCUUCUACAGUUUUGCAGGUGCGUACAAUAUACUACUUCUGUGUCCAAGGCUCCCAGCCUAUUUCCGCUUCUGCGCCUUCUCUUCCACAUGCACGGUCUCACUUCUGUGGCGAGAUGACCGCAUCUGUGGUCCCAUCACUCCUAGCCAAAAUCUCAUCUUUGACCCUCAUGGCCGCUUCUAUGGCUCCGCACCUGCGGCUAAAACCUCGUAGGUGCGGUUACACCAGGCGACAACAACCCUCAGCCUUUCUUCGAAGUCCAACUCGAUCCAUUUACCAUCCGGAUCCCACCCGAAGCCCUUGGGACCUUAACCAAAUAUACUAACACGUCCCAAAUCACAUUACGAACUUAGUCGAGCCUCCAAAUCCAAUCAAACAACAUCAAAAUCACGAAUCACAAUUCAAUUCAAGCUUAAUGAACUUUAGAACUUCAAACUUCAACAUCCGAUGCCGAAACCUAUCAAAUCUCCUCCGAUUGACCUCAAAUUUUGCACACAAGUCAGAUUUAACAUUACGGACCUACUCCAACUUCUAGAAUCAGAAUUAGACCCUGAUAUUAAAAGUCCUCUUCCGGUCAAUCUUCUUAAAAACCUUCAAAUUACUAACUUUAGCCAAAUGACUCCAAAAUGACCUACGGACCUCUGAAUCCACUUCCGGACAUGCUCCCAAUACCAGAAUCACGAUACGGCGUUAUCCCUAGACUCGGAAUCCCCAACAGACAUCGAUAACAUUGAAAUGCACUCCAACCCAAAUUUAUUAAAUUCUUCCAAAAUGCUAACUUCCACAAUAGGCGCCGAAACGCUUCCGGUUCAUCCAAAUCUCGAUCCGGACAUACGCCUAAGUCCAAAAUCAUCAUACAAACUUGUUGAAACCCUCAAAUCCUAACUUCAAGUUUGUUUACUCAAAAUCAGCCCUUAGUCGGUUUCUUCCAACUUUAAGCUUCCAAAAUGAGAAUUAUCUUUCCAAAUCAACUCUAAACUUCCGAAAUUCAAGUUCCGACCACGCGUACAAGUUAUAAUACCUUAAGUGGAGCUGCUCAUGGCCUAUAAUCGCCAAACAAUAUACUAGAGCUCAAAAUGACCGAUUGGGUCAUUACUAUUUCCCAGCUAGUUUUUGUGUAGUUAAGGCGGAAUUGGGAGUUUGAUUCUAGGGAUUUGGAGAGUUAAUUUGGGGAUUUAGGUGACGAUUUGGUGUCGAAUUUUGGUAAAUUUGGUAUGGUUGGACUCGUGGUUGAUUGGGCUUUCAAAUUUUGUGAUUUUUAUAAGAUUUCGAGAUGUGGGCCCAGGGGCCAACUUUUGAGUCGACUUUUUGACUUUUGAAUAAGAGUUUAGUAUUUUCUUAUGGGAUUGGUUCCUUUAGAUCGUGUUUAUUGUAUCGAAUUGUUUGUGGCUAGACUCGGGACAUUCAGAGACCGUUUCAGGAGGCAAAGGCUUGUUGGAGUAGGGAUUGCAUGGGUUGAGGUAAGUAACAGUCCUAAAGUUGGUUCUAAAGGUAUGAAACCCCAUAUUCUCGACGGAGUUUGAUCGUUUUGAGAUCCCAAGGUAGCUGGUUGGCGUUAGAAGGUCUUGUCUCUCCUUCAUUGUCUUACCACUUUAUGUAAUUAGUUUCAGACUAUCAUAGAUAGUAUUUCCAAACUUGUGCUGUAUAAACACUCAUGUACAUAGUGACAUCCCAAUGUUGGGAAUUUUCCGUAUUUGGGUUUUGACCUUCUACCCAGUUUUUGAGAGUUUGAUGAUUUAAACUUGUGCUAUUUUAUUUUUCAUUUAAAAGUAUUGGAAGUAUUUUGAAGUGUCAGCUUGCCUAGUACCAUGUUAGGCGCAUCAUAAUACGCUAUGUUUUGGGUCGUGACAAGUUGGUAUCAAAUCCUAGGUUAUAUAGGUCUCACGAGUCAUGGUUGGCUUAGUAGAGUCUUGGGGAUCGGUACACAGAUGUCUGUACUUAUCAUCGAGAGGUUGUCAAACCCUUAGGAAACUUUACUUUCCUGUAUUCUUAUCGUGCAGAUUUGUUGUUUUCGGUAACUAAUCUUCUAAUAUUCUAUUCUCUCACAAAUGGUGAGGAAACGUGCUAUCGGACAGGAUAAAAAUCCACCAGUACCACCAGCUAGGGCUAUGAGAGGCCGAGGUCCUAGUAGGGGACGCGGUAGGGGCAGAGGUGCAGCUCAUACAACAACUAGAGCAGCGCCUGCAGAUCCACCGGUUUCUCUAACUUAAGAGCAUAUGCCGGAUGUGGUUGAGCCAAUGGGGCCAGAUCAAACACUAGUUGUGCCCAUUGUGAUUCCAGGCCUUCAGGAGGCUUUGGCUUAGAUUUUGACUGUAUGCAAUAGCCUUACACAUGCGGUCUCUAUUACAACCGCAACAACCACUUCUCACACCAAGGGAGGUACUUAGACUCCCACUGCCCGUAUUCCAAAGUAGGUGAUAUAGUGGCUCCAGAUAGCAGGGGUACUACCAGCCCAACCGGUUGCAGCUGCUCAGGCCCAGGUAGGUCCCAUUAUGACUGAUGAUGAGCAACGAAUAUUUGAGAUAUUUGGGAGGCUGCAACCUCUAUCAUUUAGCGAGGCUGAGUUAGCGGAUGCCUAGGGCUUCUUGGAUAAGUUCUAGAAGAUUCUUCGCACGGUAGGUAUUAUAGAGACCAGUGGGGUCUCGUUUAUUACUUUUUAGUUUACUGGGGAUGCAUUCAUAUAGUGGGAGACUUAUGAGAGGUGCAUGCCGGUCGGUGUAGCACCAGUUUCAUGGUAGGAGUUCUCCGUUCUCUUCUUAGAGAAGUUCAUGUUAUAGUCUCGCAGGAAGGAGUUAUACAGAUGGUUUGAGCAGAUACAUCAGGUGGGCAUGUAUGUGACCUAGUACGAGAUGAGGUUUUCAGAGUUGGCUUGUCAUACAGUUUGGUUGAAUCGCACUGAUAGGGAGAGGAUUAAGAGGUUUAUUGAUUUCACAUAUUAGUUGUGGUUGCUUAUGACUUGGGAGAGGGUAUCUGGUGCUAUUUUCGAUGCGGGGGUUGAUAUUUAUCGGUAAAUAUAGAUGGUCCGUAGUCAGGAGCGUGAAGAGAGGGAGGCCAAGAGGCCACAACGAUGCUUAUGUAUGCCACAAGGAUGCUUAUGUAUUAUUUGACCUUGGUUCCAUUUAUUCGUGUGCAUCAUCAUAUUUUGCUCAUUUUCUGGAUAUGGUGAGUCCUUAGUUUCAUCUGUUAAUGUAUCUACAUCGGUAGGAUAUACCAUUAUUGUGGAUUGUGUAUAUCAGUCGAGUGUAGUGACUAUUAGGGGAUUGGAGAUGAGAGUUAACCUCUUAUUGCUUAGUAUGGUUGAUUUCGAUGUGAUCAUGGGUAUGGAUUGGUUGUCUCUAUGUCAUGAUUUUUUGUAUUGUCACACUAAUAUUGUGACGUUGGCGAUACUAGGUUUUCUAUGGAUUGAGUGGAGAGAUUCUCUAGCCUAUGUUCCCAGCAGAGUGAUUUCAUAUUUAAAGACCCAAUUGAUGGUUGGGAAGGGGUGUCUGUCUUAUUUGGCCUUUGUGAGGGAUGUGGGUGCUGAUACCCCUACUAUUUAUAUUGUUCCGGUGGUGCGAUAAUUUCCAGAUGUGUUUCCUACAGACCUACCGACAUGCCACCUGAUAGGGAUAUUGACUUUAGUAUUGACUUGGUGCCAGGCACUCAGCCCAUUUCUAUUCCUCCGUAUUGUAUAGUACCAGUUGAGUUGAAGGAAUUGAAAUAGCAGCUUCGGGAACUUCUUGAUAGGGGUUUAUUAGGCCUAGUGUGUCGCCUUGGGGUGCACCGGUUCUGUUUAUGAAGAAGAAGGAUGGUACUAUGAGGAUGUUCAUCGAUUAUAGGUAGUUGAAAAAAGUUACAAUCAAGAACAAGUAUCCUUCUUCACAUAUUGAUGAUCUAUUUGACUAGCUUCAGGGAGCGAGAGUGUUCUCUAAGAUCGAUCUGAGUUUUGGGUAUCACCAGUUGAAGAUACAUGACUCGAAUAUUCUAAGAUGGCAUUUAGGACCGUUUAUAGUCAUUAUGGGUCAUUUGUGAUGUCUUUUGGGCUAACCAACACCCCAGCAACAUUCAUGCAUAUGAUGAAAUAUGUAUUUCAGCCUUAUCUCGACUCAAUUGUCAUUGUAUUCAUUGGUGAUAUCCUAAUGUACUCUCGUAGCAAGGAGGAGCAUGCCCAACAUUUGAGGAUUUUGUUGCAGCGGUUGGGGAGGAGAAGCUUUAUGCCAAGUUCUCCUAGUGUGAGUUUCGGCUCUGUUUUGUGGCGUACUUACGGCACGUAGUGUCUAGUGAGGGGAUUCAGGUGGAUCCAAAGAAGAUAGAGGCGGUUCAGAGUUGGCCUAGAUCGUCUUCAGCUACGGAGAUUCAGAGUUUUCUUGGUUUGGCCAGUUAUUAUCGUCAUUUCGUGGAGGGUUUCUCGUCUAUUGCAUCGUCUUUGACCAAAUUGACCAAGAACGGUGCUUCUUUCAGGUGGUCAAAUGAGUGUGAAUACAACUUUUAGAAGCUCAAGACUGCCUUUAACAUAACUCCAGUUCUAGUUUUACCUUCAACUUUAGGCUCCUAUACAGUGCAUUAUGAUGCUUCUCGAAUCGGUAUUGGGUGUGUCUUGAUUCAAGAGGGUAGAGUGAUUUCUUAUGUUUUGUGCCAGUUGAAGACCCAUGAAAAGAACUACCCUAUCACGAUUGGGAGUUGGCUGUCAUCGUCCAUGCAUUGAAGAUUUGGAGACAUUAUCUCUAUAGUGUGCCUUGUGAGGUAUUAUAGAUCACCAGAGUCUCCAACACUUGUUCAAACAAAAGGAUCUAAAAUUGAGGCAGUGGAGAUGGUUGGAGCCGUUGAAGGAUUUUUGAUAUCACCAAUCUGAAUUAUGCUAGAAAGGCCAAUGUGGUGGCAGAUGCCCUGGGUAGAAAGGUGGUGAAUAUGAGUAGCCUUGCAUUCAUUCCUGUUGGUGAGAUACCUCUUGUAGUUGAUAUUUAGUCAUUGGCUAACCAGUUUGUGAGAUUAGAAGUUCUGGAGCCUAGUCAAGUUCUGGCUUGUGUGGUUUCUCGGUUUUCCUCAUGUGAUUACAUCAGAGAGUGCUAAUAUAAUGACCCGCAUUUGCUUGUUCUUAAGGACAUGGUUUAGCACGGUCAUCCCAAAGAUAUUACUAUUGGGGAUGAUAGGGUGUUAAGGAUGCAUGGUUGGAUUUGUGUGCCUAGUGUAGAUAGGCUACGUGAGUUGAUUCUUGAGGAGGCCCAUAGUUCUCAGUAUUCCAUCCAUCCCGGUGUUGCAAAGAUGUACUAGGACCUGAGGCAACAUUAUUGGUGCUGGAGAAUGAAGAAGGAAAUAGUAGGGUUUGUAGCUCGGUGCCUUAACUGUCAGCAGGUGAAGUAUGAGCAUAAGAGACCGAGUGGAUUUCUUCACAAGCUAGAUAUUCACCAGUGGAAAUAGGAGCGGAUCACCAUGGAUUUUAUAGUUGUGCUCCCACAGACUUUGAAUAAGUUCGAUGCUAUUUGGGUGAUUGUGGAUUAGCUAACCAAGUCCGCGCACUUCAUUCUAGUUGGGACUACUUAUUCUUCGGAGCGGUUGGCUGAGAUUUACAUCCGCAAGAUCGUUCGCCUUCACGGUGUGCCAGUGUCCAUCAUUUCAAAUUGGGAAACGCAAUUUACCUCAUAGUUUUGGACAGUCGUACAACAAAAGUUGGUUACCCAAGUUGAGUUGAGUACACCAUUUCACCCUCAUAUGGACGGACAGUAUGAGCAUACUAUUUAGAUAUUGGAGGACAAGCUACGCGCUUGUGUCAUUAAUUUCGGGGGUUCAUCGGACCAGUUUCUGCCACUCGCGGAGUUUGCCUACAAUAACAACUACCAGACAAGCAUUCAGAUAGAUCCAUAUGAGGUUUUGUAUGAGAGACAGUGUCGAUCUCCGGUGGGUUUGUUUGAGCCCGGUAAGGCCAGGCUGUUGGGUACUGAUUUGGUUCAGGAUACUUUGGACAAGGUUAAAUUGAUUCAGGAUUGGCAUUGGGCGCAAUGUAGACAGAAGAGUUACGCUAAUAGAAAUGUUCAUGAUGUUGCUUACAUUGUUGGGGAGAAGGUACUGCUCAAGGUUUCACCCAUGAAGGGUAUUAUGAGAUUCGGGAAGAAGGGCAAGUGUAGCCCUCGGUAUAUUGGGUGUUUUGAGGUGCUUCAGAGUAUUGGAGAGGUGGCUUACAAUCUUUUCUUGUCACCUAGUUUGUCGAGUGUGCAUCCAGUAUUUCAAGUAUCUAUGCUUCAGAAGUAUGUCAAUGAUCCGUCUCAUGUUUUGGAUUUUAGCAUGGUUCAGUUAGAUGGUGAUUUGACUUAUGAUGUGGAGCCGGUAGACAUUUUGGGUCAGCAGGUUAGAAAGUUGAGGUAAAAAUACAUAGCUUCAGUGAAGGUGCAGUGGAGAGGUCAUCUAAUGAGGAGGCUACUUGGGAGACUAAGGGGGAGAUGCGGAGAAGAUAUCCACACCAAUUUGAGACCCCAGGUACAUUUCUAUACCCGUUUGAGGAUGAACAUUUGUUUAAGAUAAGGAGCAUGUAAUGACCCAGCCGGUUGUUUUGAGAGUUGUAGCCUUGUUCCCCUAUUUAGUGAUCAUUUUGUGCUUUAUAGUUGUUAUGCGACUUGUCGGGGUAAUUAGUUCGGGUUCGGAGUGAUUUUGGAAUGAAACGAGACACUUAGUCUCAAGGUUAGAAGCUUAAAUUAAAAAGAUUGACCGGAUGUUGACUUUUGUGUAAAUGACAUCGGAUUGCAGUGUUGAUGGUCCCGUUAGCUCCGUGGGUGAUUCUAGACUUAAGAGCAUGUCCGUAGUGAUUUGGAGGUCUGUAGUUGAACUAGGCUUGAAUUGGCGAAAGUUGAAAAUUUGGAUGUUUGACCGAGAGUGGACUUUGUGGUUACCAGACUCACAUUGGGGUUCAGGGAAGUGGAGUAGGACCGUGGUGUCAUUUGUGACUUGUAUGCAAAAUUUGAGGUCAAUCGGACGUGAUUUGAUAGAUUUCGACAUUGUUUGUAGAAGUUGGAUUUCUUUAGUUUCAUUAGGCUUGAACUGGGGUGCGAUUCAUGUUUUUGAUAUUGUUUGAUGUGAUUUGAAGGAUCGAAUAAGUCUGUACCGUGUUUUAGGACUUGUUGGUAUGUUUGGUUGAGGUCCCGCGGGUCUCGGGUUAAUUUUGGAUGGUUAACAGCUCGAAUUUGGAGUUUGAAAGAUUGCUGAAGCUGGGAGUCUUUUGGUGCAAUCGCACAUGUAGAGCUUUCGUCGCAGGUGCGAGAUGGGGAGUUCAAAUUCUGCCAGGAGUGGGGGAAGACUAUGCUCGCAGGUGCAAAGGAUUUUCCACACCUGCAUGGUCGUAGAUGUAGCCUAAUGGGUGUGGAAGCGGAGUUUGGCCAGUGGGUAGUUCGUGCAGGUGCGAUGGGAAUUCUGCACCUGCGACUGCGCAGAUGCGAGGGCAGGAUCGCAGAAGUGGAGGUCCAGUUCCAAUGGUUCAUAGCAAAAGUGAGAGGAUUGUCGCUUCUAUGAUAUUGCAGAUGUGGUUAUGUUUCCGCAGAAACAAAAAGGAGGGACAGAACCUUAAAUUCACGGGUUCGCGAUUUUUCUUAAUUUUAAACAUUUUAACCUUUGGAUUGGGCGAUUUUUGAGAGGGAUUUAAAAUGAAUUCUUGAGUUAAGUCACUUGUGCUCAUUUUUAGUCAACAAUCUUAUUUCCCCGUUGAAUUCCCCACCUAGCUUAUGUGCAUUUAAUGUGGAAUUGGGAGUUUGAGGCAAGGGGUUUGGAGGGUUAAUUGGGGAUCUGGGUGACGAUUUGGAGUCGGAUUUUGGUAAAUUUGGUAUGGUUGGACUCGUGGUUGAUUGGGCUUUCGGAUUUUGUGACUUUUAUCGGAUUUCGACACCUAGGCCCGAGGGCCAGCUUUUGAAUCGUCUUUUUGACUUUUGAUUUAGAGCCUAGUAUUUUCUUAUGGAAUUGAUUCCUUUAGCUCGUGUUGAUUGUAUCGAAUUUUUUGUGGCUAGAUUUGGGACAUUCGGAGGCCAUUUCAUGAGGAAAGGGCGUGUUGGGGUAGGGAUUGCAGGGGUUGAGGUAAGUAACAGUUCUAAAUUUGGUUCUGAGGGUAUGAAACCCCAUAUUAUGUGUCAUGUGAUUUGUUUUGAGGUGAUUCACAUGCUAGGUGGCGAGCGUGUGGACGUGCACCGUAGGAAUUGUGACUUGGUCGAUUCCAUGGAACUGUAUAGUUGAAAAAACUGUUGUUAUCUGUAUAUUCCCCAUGUGUUAUAGAAUUUGAACUGCAACUCAUGUUAGAAAUCAUGCUUAGACUAUGUGUUGGCACUAUAGGGACCCACAUAGGUCGUGUACAUGUUGAAUUAUAUGCUAAAUUGUUGUUUUGUAAGCCACAUUUUUACUUGCAUAUUAUAUCUCAGUCUAUAUUGUUCUUUAUUGAUACAUUAUAUCAGUGAUAUUUGGGCUAAAUAUCAUGAUUACUGAGAGCCCGAGCGACUAUAGAGCUUGAUGACUGAGUGAGGCCGAGGGACUGAUAGUGAGGAUAUUUAUUGGAUCGGGCUGCAUGUAGCAUCAUGUUUUGUUGAUUAAUGCCAUGAUUAGCUCGUUAUAGUGCUUGGGUUGAAGGAGCCCCUCCUGAGUCUGUACACACCCCAAGGGAGCGUAGGUACCUACUGAGUGCGAGUGCCGAGUGUGAGUAUUGAGUGCGAGUGCCGAGUGCGAGUAUUGAGUGCGAGUGCCGAGUGCGAGUAUUGAGUGCGAGUACUGAGUGCGAGUGUCGAGCAACUGGGAGAAAUGAGUGACUGUGAGGAUGAGUGACUGUAAGGCUGGAGUGAAUGGGAGGACUGAGUGACUGUUGCGCAGAGAUAAUGCAUUUGAUUUCAUUACUGUUGCACUUUAGCUACCAUAUAUCAUUGUCAUAUGAUUUCAGAGAGAUAUUAUUGUCACACCUCCUUUUUCUUACACCCCCGGAAGGGUAUAUAAGAGAGUUUUUUCCAACUUAAAGUGACAACCGAAACAAGAUCAUUUUAUUAAAAAUUCAUAGCCGCCACUUGGGAUAAUUUACGGUGUCCCAAGUCACCGGUUCAAAUCACGAAUCGAGGAAAGAUUGACUCCGUUUUACAGUUUGCGAACACAGAAAUCCGGGUAAGGAAUUCUGUAAACCUGGGAGAAAGUGUUAGAUAUUUCCGGAUUCCGUAGUUUUAGCACGGUCGCUCAACUGUUAUAAUUGGCCUAUUAUCUGAUUUUAAAAUACUUUUAAACCUAUGUGCAUUUUAACUUUAAACUGCCUUUAAUUAUUUUUAGGGAAGAUUCAACGUUACUUAAAACAUGCCUUGAACCACGUCACAUGAAAUGCACCCGCGGUCCCCGACACAUUUUAUUUAAAAUUGUUGAGAUUUGGAUUUGGGUCACAUAAAAUGCACACCCGAGUUUAAGGAAAUUAAUUUAAAUUAUGCUCCUAAAGCAACUACGCAUUUUCAAUUUGCGAGGGCCAUGGAAAAUUCAACUAAAUGGCGUACCUCGAUUUCUAAAGGAUUAAAAUUAGUUAAGUGAGGGCCAUGCGUUUGAGAUUUUAUUUGGCACGACACACCUCGAUUCCAAUUUUAAAAGGAAACUCAAACUAAGCUUUUGAGGGCCAUAAACUAUAUUUUACUUAAUAUGGCACACCUCCAAUCUAAUUGUCUAAAAAUUCCUUAUUUUAAAAUUAUGAGGGCCAUAGACUAUUUGUGUUUUCUAAUAUGGCACGCCCCAUCUAAAUAAAUAAAUUAUUAUUUUUCUAAAUCGUAGCUAAAAGCCCUUGAUUGCUCAAUUUACCCAAAAACUAACGAAGGCUUCAUAUUUUCGUAGCCAGAUUGCCCACGGCCCACUUCAAUGCCUUUGAGAUGGAUUGAUUUACAAAUACCAAUUUAAGAUUAAAUAAUCAAAUCCCAAAACAACAACUAUAGAGCAACAUGCGUUCUUCCUCUACUUAAACAUGAUUAAAUAUUUUGAUAAACUAAUAACAUUCAUUGUAUAAAUAUAUAUGAGGCAGAGUAAUACACAAAAAUAUAUGUAUAAUGAUAAAAAUGGAAUAGAAAAGUAAAGAAUUAACCUCAGCUGCUUUCCUUUUUAAAUAGCAAAAUUCAAUUACUGCAAACUUUGGUGAGCUAGAUGCUACUGGGAAAUGAAAACAGGAACUAGCUUGAACCGUGAACUCGUCGGCAACCUCGACUCAAUAGGAAACGGAGUUUUCGAGAGAAUGAAAUCGAUUAGAGCUCAGCAUCUAUGGAGUUCAGUGGUGUUGGAGUUUGGAGGACGGUCAAGUUCAAUUGGUUUUGCGCUUGGUAUUGUAUCAGUGGUGUUUUUGGUGGAAAUCGGUGAAGAGGCGACGCUAGGGGUUUUGUAACUCUGAUUUUGGACCCGUUUUUUGACUGAAAAUCAUCGCCUCCCCCUAUCGCUCUGUUGUUCUGUCCUCCAAAUUCUCUAUGUCCGUUCUUUGCUCUUAGCUCCCUCUAUUCAUUUAAACUCCAUUGUUUUGAGACCCAAUUUGAAAUCAAAAGGAAGAAACAGUAAUAUAUUUCUUGUAUUUUUCUUUCUAAAUCUCAAGCAUAAGGCUAAUUCAUAAAAAAACAAAAACUUCGCUUCCUUUAAUUUGUAUUUGGUCUUAAGGUGUGUUAUAGGUUGUGAAAAAAUGAAGAAGAACGGAUGGUUCCUCAAACGGCGGAUCUGAAGGUUUUUAGGUGU
RNAcentral lists this long non-coding RNA (11776 nucleotides) under Nicotiana tabacum (common tobacco). RNAcentral describes it as "long non-coding RNA (NTAB_LNC008522)". Lineage: Eukaryota; Viridiplantae; Streptophyta; Magnoliopsida; Solanales; Solanaceae. The record is from RNAcentral.